RNAcentral lists this long non-coding RNA (2251 nucleotides) under Homo sapiens (human). Its description in RNAcentral is "HSALNT0353432". Lineage: Eukaryota; Metazoa; Chordata; Mammalia; Primates; Hominidae. The record is from RNAcentral.
CUCACGCCUAUAAUCCCAGCACUCUGGGAGGCCGAGGCGGGCAGAUCACCUGAGGUCAGGAGUUUGAGACCAGCCUGGCCAACACAGUGAAACCCCAUCUCUGCUAAAAAUACAAAAAUUAGCGAGGCGUGGUGGUGCACGCCUGUAAUCCCAGCUGCUCCAGAGACUGAGGCAGGAGAAUCGCUUGAACCCAGGAGGCAGGGUUUGCAGUGAGUCGAGACUGUGCCACUGCACUCCAGCCUGGGUGACGGAGUCAAACUCCAUCUCAAAAAAAAAUACACAGGAUUGUGGCUCAUGCCUGUAAUACCGGCACUUUGGGAGGCCAAGGUGGUAGGAUGGCUUGAGCCCAGGAGUUCAGGACCAGCCUGGGCAACAUAGCAAGACCCCAACUGUACAAUAAAUAAAUAAAAUUUUUUAAAAUGAAACAAAGGCCGGCCAGCUGCAAUGGCUCACGCCUGUAAUCCCAGCACUUUGGGAGGCCGAGGCAGGCAGAUCACUUGAGGUCAGGAGUUCUAGACCAGCCUGGCCAACGUGGUGAAACCCCAUUUCUACUAAAAAUAUAAAAAUUAGCCAGCCGUGGUGGCAGGCACCAGUAAUCCGAGCUAUUUAGGAGGCUGAGGCAGGAGAAUCGCUUGAACCCAGGAGGCAGGGGUUACAGUGAGCCGAGAUUGCACCACUGCACUCCAGCCUGGACAACAAGAGUGAGACUCCAUCUCAAAAAAAAAAAAUUAAAAAUAAAAGAAUGCACAGUCCAGUAAUGUCACCCAGCCCUAUAUCAGUAAAGGUCACACUCUAGAGUGGUACAUAUCUCAGCUGCAUCUAAGGCCUUGCUAAUUAGCUCAUUAGAAUGUCACAAAUGGGUUUUUAUAUUACCCAUGUAUAGCUGCCAAAAAUGUUUAAGUGAAUCUAAUCAAAGUUGGAAAAAAAAAUAAGAAAAAUCCAGGUUGGAAGACAUUCAGCAAAACAAUUUCCCUGCACUACACUCUAAAAAAAGUCAAGCUAGGGAAUUGGUCCAGACAGAUAACACAACUGGGUUGGUCCAUUAAGUGACCCCUGAUGCAGCACUGCAUUGAAGGCAAAAAAGCUGUGAGAGAGAUUUGAGGGACAACUGGGGAACUUUGUAGUUAUAUAUGGACUAUAUAUUAGACAGUAUUAUUGUAUCAUCAUUAGAUUUUUCAGUGUGACAGUGGCUAUUUACAAGAAUGCCCUAGUUCUUAGGAUGUUAGUGCUGAAUCAUUAGACAAGAGACCUGAUGGCUACAACUGACAUAUAAAUGCCUCAGAGACUGAUGUAUUUUAUAUGGAGGUAAAGCAAAUGUAACAAACUGUUAAUAGUUGGUGGAUCUAAGUGAUGAGUCUAGGUGUGUUAUUGUGCAGUUUUUUCAACUUUUCUGGAAAACGAACUUUUCAAAAUAAAAAAUUGGAAAAAUAGAAUUCAAGUUAAUUUAUGAAUUUCUAGGAUACUAAGACCAUUGAUUCAACUUGCCAGGCAGCUCCUGCUGUCCUCCAACUUGCUAAUGAAAUGUUUUGAGAAACUUACCUAUAUAGCAAAUUUCUUUUAUUUUGCUUUUGUUAUAUUUUGGAGAAGGAGUCUUGCUAUUUCGCCCAGGCCUGGCUUGAACUGUCCAUCCUUCACCUUGGCUUCCUGAAUAGCUGGGGCUACAAGCAUGCACCACCAACCCUGGCAUAUAGUUAAUUUCUUUGCAGUUUCUCAACCAUACUCAACUUCUAGAGAUUGGAUCAAAGGUUCUACAUAUAUUUUUCCUCCUAUAGCAAGCUUAUUAAAUACAAAUUGGCAUGUUAAAAACCUUGGCCGGCUGGGCGCGGUGGCUCAUGCCUAUAAUCCCAACACUUUGAGAGGCAGAGGUGGGCAGAUCACCUGAGGUCAGGAGUUCGAGACCAGCCUGACCAACACGGUGAAACCCCUUCUCUACUAAAAAUACAAAAAAAUUAGCCGGGCUUGGUGGCAGGCGCCUGUAAUCCCAGCUACUCGGGAGGCUGAGACAGAAGAAUCGCUUGAACCUGGGAGGCAGAGGUUGCAGUGAGCCGAGAUCGCGCCGUUGCACUCCAGCCUGGGCAAUAAGAGCGAAACUCCGUCUCAAAAAUAAAUAAAUAAAUAAAAGCCUUGGCCUAUACUAGAUGUAUAUGUCUUUUAACUCUGGGUUCCUGGGCUCCUACUUGGGAGGAUUUCUGCCCCAAGGAUGAAUAUGCUUGUGAUUUGGAGUGGAAGAAGGAAGAGAUACCAAAGGCAU